GGGGCAGUAGCUCAGUUUGGUGGUAGCGCCGGUCUCCAAAACCGGAGGUCCCAGGUUCGAGUCCUGGCUGCCCCG
Molecule: transfer RNA, 75 nt
Filed under: Solirubrobacteraceae bacterium
Lineage: Bacteria; Bacillati; Actinomycetota; Thermoleophilia; Solirubrobacterales; Solirubrobacteraceae
Also listed under: 3 other names
Description: tRNA-Trp
Rfam family: tRNA
About the family: Transfer RNA (tRNA) molecules are approximately 80 nucleotides in length. Their secondary structure includes four short double-helical elements and three loops (D, anti-codon, and T loops).
Source: RNAcentral